GUUUUAAUAAUUUAAUUGAAAAUAUUGGUCUUGUAAAUCAAAAAUGAAAUGUAAUUUCUUAAAACA
This 66-nucleotide transfer RNA is filed under the name Laomedia astacina. RNAcentral's name for it is "tRNA-Thr". It matches the Rfam family "tRNA". Rfam says of the family: Transfer RNA (tRNA) molecules are approximately 80 nucleotides in length. Their secondary structure includes four short double-helical elements and three loops (D, anti-codon, and T loops). The record is from RNAcentral. Lineage: Eukaryota; Metazoa; Arthropoda; Malacostraca; Decapoda; Laomediidae.